RNAcentral lists this ribosomal RNA (254 nucleotides) under uncultured bacterium. RNAcentral describes it as "partial 16S ribosomal RNA". It matches the Rfam family "Bacterial small subunit ribosomal RNA", at positions 524 to 776 of the family's 1533-position model. The record is from RNAcentral.
UACGGAGGAUCCAAGCGUUAUCCGGAAUUACUGGGCGUAAAGAGUUGCGUAGGUGGCAUAGUAAGUCGGUAGUGAAAGCGUGGGGCUCAACCCCAUACACAUUAUCGAAACUGCUAAGCUUGAGGACGAGAGAGGCAUCUGGAAUUCCUAGUGUAGGAGUGAAAUCCGUAGAUAUUAGGAGGAACACCGAUGGCGUAGGCAGGGUGCUGGCUCGUUUCUGACACUAAGGCACGAAAGCGUGGGGAGCAAACGGG